This 253-nucleotide ribosomal RNA is filed under the name uncultured bacterium. Its description in RNAcentral is "partial 16S ribosomal RNA". It matches the Rfam family "Bacterial small subunit ribosomal RNA", at positions 524 to 776 of the family's 1533-position model. The record is from RNAcentral.
UACGGAGGGUGCAAGCGUUAAUCGGAAUAACUGGGCGUAAAGGGCAUGCAGGCGGUUAAACAAGUAGGAUGUGAAAUCCCCGGGCUCAACCUGGGAACUGCAUUCUAAACUGUUUAACUAGAGUAUUGCAGGGGGAGACGGAAUUCCAGGUGUAGCGGUGGAAUGCGUAGAUAUCUGGAAGAACACCAAAGGCGAAGGCAGUCUCCUGGGCAAAUACUGACGCUCAGAUGCGAAAGCGUGGGUAGCAAACAGG